Molecule: ribosomal RNA, 460 nt
Filed under: uncultured bacterium
Lineage: Bacteria
Description: partial 16S ribosomal RNA
Rfam family: Bacterial small subunit ribosomal RNA
Source: RNAcentral
CCUACGGGAGGCAGCAGUGAGGAAUAUUGGUCAAUGGACGAGAGUCUGAACCAGCCAAGUAGCGUGAAGGAUGACUGCCCUAUGGGUUGUAAACUUCUUUUAUAAAGGAAUAAAACGAGGCACGUGUGCCUGUUUGCAUGUACUUUAUGAAUAAGGAUCGGCUAACUCCGUGCCAGCAGCCGCGGUAAUACGGAGGAUCCGAGCGUUAUCCGGAUUUAUUGGGUUUAAAGGGAGCGUAGAUGGGUUGUUAAGUCAGUUGUGAAAGUUUGCGGCUCAACCGUAAAAUUGCAAUUGAUACUGGCAGUCUUGAGUACAGUUGAGGUAGGCGGAAUUCGUUGUGUAGCGGUGAAAUGCUUAGAUAUCACGAAGAACCCCGAUUGCGAAGGCAGCUUACUAAACUGUGACUGACAUUGAUGCUCGAAAGUGUGGGUAUCAAACAGGAUUAGAUACCCGGGUAGUC